CAAAACAGGUGAACUGCCUGAGCUCAUAAGUUCAAGACAAGCUUAAGCAAGAGUGAGACCCCAUCUCUAAAAAUAGCUGGGUGUUGUAACAGGCACCUGUGGUCCCAGCUACUUGGGAGACUGAGGCAAGAGGAUCGCUUGACUCCAAGACUUUGAGGUUACUGUGAGCUAUGAUGCCAUAAGCACUCUACCCAGAGGAUGAUCAAGACCAAGAAGGAGCACAAUGAAAUUAAGAGGUAUAAACCAAAAUAGCCCAAGGAGUAGUCUGAAUGAUGCCUAAUGGAGGGAAUCAGCUCUUGCCAUCAAGUGUAAAGCUCGAAAGUCUGGCAGACAAUAAUCCAGAAAAUAACUGUGGUGUUGGGGAAAAUGACCUAAGAACCAGUCAGGAAACUGAAAGUUAUAUGGGCCCUGUAUUUGUUCUUUUUAAAUGGGAAAAAGAGAAAAUGAAACUACAAAAUGUUUUAUUUGUGUGUUAGCUACACAGCCUGGGGCUAUUUUUCCUUUUCCCAAACAGUGUACAUUUUAGAGCUGACACAAAGAGGGGUGGCGUGUUGAGCUCCAACAAGCAAGCAAAUUUUUACUUGCGACAAAAAUACUGGACCAGAUGGCUCACAAAACAUGCCCAGAGCACAGUUAAAUGUUCACAGGAGGACCACUAAUGUAAGUGAGGAACUUGCUGGUUCUAUCUCUGUUUUUGUUUGCAUUCCACUUAGAACCAAGGUUUGGAAAUGCUCAGCAAAUCACCCCUGGGCAGAGUGACUCUUUGCUUAGCACUCUACCUAAGUGUUAACACCUGAGUGUGCUGAAGUCUAACAAUUACAGAGACAAAUCUCUAAGGCUAUAGAAUUUCACCAAAGGUAUUUCAAAAAUUGCUGGAUGCUUUGUAGAGGAACACUAGGAAAGCACUGACACAGGCCAGGUCAAGGCUGGAGUUGGAAAGCAUCAACAAGAAGUCAUGGAAACCAUCAGACCGCAUAACCAUGCACAGCUAGAGAACUGAGAGAUUUCUGUUCACUCUGUUCAGAGGAGAAGUACCCAUGCUUAUUUCUGGCUUCACUAUCACUAUCCUCCAAUGCUCUCCAGAGGACGGCUGCUGUUGCUUAUGUGUCUAUUGGUAUUGUUGCUUUAAAACUCUGGGAAAAUCAGUUUUUUAUUUCAUUUUAUGACUUGUGAAGAGAUACGUGGCCUUUUUUAAGAAAGUCUUUUCCCAAAAAACCAACUCUACAAAAUCCAUCCAAGGAUUUCAUCCACUCAUUCAGGCAAAGAGAACUAGCAAAUAUCUACAGCACCCUGGCACGGCUGAUCCCCCAUUCUAGAUGAUGCUUCUACCAGUUAACUCCUUUUCACCUGCCUUAAUCUUGAACACAAAGGUCUCUGACUAGCUACUGGCAAACAUCUUUGGCUGUGAAACCACCUGGAUAAAAAAUAACGGAGAAAAGGGUGGAAUCUCUGUCCACAAGUAAAGGUAGGAAAGGGUGGGUUUGAAAAAACUGAAUUAGGUAGGAUAAAUACUAUCCUCACUGAAAAUGUUUCCUUGUUCUAUUAGUGUUGCCAGUGAGAUGAUUUCAAAGACAAAGGCUUGGGCAUCAGUGGGUGAAUUCUAUAAUAAUAGCUGUCAAAACCAAAUUCAGUGCACCCUCCAUAGAUGACCAACUCCCUACAUUGAUCACACCCUUAAGUUGACAUAAUUUUCAUAGACCAGAAAUGCACCACAUGUACUUGUCAGUACAGUAGGCCCCUUUCCUUAUGUUGACCACCUCCGUAUGGUGACCAGUUUGUCACAGUCCUUUGGGUAGUUGACAUAACAGAGGUUGUACUGUAGUUGUUAAACUAUUUCUCCCUAGGUUGGCAAAUGUUAUGGUGCCCACACCUCAAAGCAAUCCCUUACUCCUACUGUCCUUUCCCUGGGGCCAUCUCAGGCCUCCCCAUAAUCUAACACCUAAAGGCGUGACAAGGAGACUGUGAAUAUCAACACCGAGGCUUCAGGCAGCUUCCUCAGCAGCUGGUAUGUCAUGCCCAGGCAUUACAUGAUCAGACCCCCACCCCUGGGAAGCUCUGCAGGACCAGUGAAAUGGGUUGGGCAAGCUUUCUCUCAUUUUCUGCCCAGUGUAACAAAAUGAAAAACAAAAACAGGAGCUCAACUUGGACUUUACCUAACAAAUGCAAACAAGGUACCUAAUUGUAUGUACCCUUAUAUUAAUCUGAAAUUUUUUUUAAAGGAUGGGGGGAAGGAAGAAAAUGGACUUUGGCCACUCAAAGAAACAUAAUUUAUUUGAACCAAGGAAGGCCCUCAGUUUAAGUUAAUGAAAUCUCAUGUCAAAAUAGGUUGCCUGGGGCCUUUGGGUGCUCUAGCCAAUCAGCUCACCUGCUGAUCAGCACUAAGGCUGGAACCUAACUUCAGCCUCACUCUCAGCCUACUGUGCUUUCCCCGUCUCUCUCUGCCUGUCGUAUUUUCAAAUGUAUGAAAAACUAGGAGGUGAACAAUAUGAGAUGAUCUUCCUUAAAAUACAAGAAGGACUCCUAAGGGAUGCACAGGUGACUGUUUAUUGGAAGCUUUUAACAUAUGAAUAAGGACUUCUUCCCUUAAGUUAAACCAUCCUACUAUCAUAUUGAUUAUACCACUCAUCUCGUUAACAGAAUCUUCCCUAACCUGUGCAAAGAUGUGACUCUACUAAUCAAUUUUUAACCAGGGCCACAUGAAAAAUUUCAUGAGCACGGAAAGUAGAGAAAAUAAAGGUUAAAAUUACAGGUUUCAAGAUACCUCUACAUACAUGCAACACAGAACAAAGAAAUGGCAGGCCUAGGAAAUGUUAUUUUUUUAAAACAAAGAUGAUGAAGAAGAGAGAAAAAGAAUAUGAGUAAGUGAUAAUCUAUUGACAACUUUUCCAAACCAUACAGGAUCCUUGGGCUUUUAAAAAUGACCCACAUUUACCCUGGAACUGCAGAAAAGCUGGCUCUGCAAAGUCAGAUGGUUCAGGCCACUGCGUCAUCCCUGUAUAUGGUUUCAAAAUGCUGCCUGAUAGCAUGGUAACCAUACACCAAUGAAUGUCCUACAAAAUGCCAUCAAGGCCUCCCCUGGGAAAAUCCCACGGAAUUUAACUCUAAUUCUAAGAUGUUCCCAAGGCUCUGAAAAUCAGGUCCUCAGUUGAAGGAGCCUCGGAGAAGGGGAAGACUUACAAUCAUCCACCCUGCCUGUUGACAAGACAGGGAAGGAAGAAAAGAAGAACCCAGGGACUUAAACAGGGUCACAGCUAGUGGCAGAGUGGGGAUUAGUAUCUGCUAUGGGGACUCCCAGUUCAAGGGCUCUUUCCUCUUUAUCUCACUGCCUCUUCUUUCCAGUCUUGAUAAGAACUGAAAUUUCUCACCAAUCGGUUGUUUUCACAAGGAGAGUUAUGCAUAACAAUUGUAUUAUGUUUUAAUCUGGAGAUCUGAGUACUGUACAUAAAUUAAAGAUUUGAGUCCUGGGUUUUUCCUUGUUUUAAGCUGACAUGGAAAUUGGCAGUUCCUACACUUUGCACUUCAGCAAAGUGGUCUCAACUGCCUUCAGA
Long non-coding RNA from Nycticebus coucang (slow loris), 3548 nucleotides. RefSeq lists it as uncharacterized. The transcript has 4 exons. NCBI's taxonomy places the organism in Eukaryota, Metazoa, Chordata, Mammalia, Primates, Lorisidae. The record is from RefSeq and is a predicted model, not a curated record.